Molecule: ribosomal RNA, 264 nt
Filed under: uncultured archaeon
Lineage: Archaea
Description: partial 16S ribosomal RNA
Rfam family: Archaeal small subunit ribosomal RNA
Source: RNAcentral
ACACGACUACAUUAGAUACCCGUGUAGUCCCAGCCCUAAACGAUGCGCGUUAGGUGUAUCGGUGACCACGAGUCACCGAGGUGCCGAAGGGAAACCGUGAAACGUGCCGCCUGGGAAGUACGGUCGCAAGGCUGAAACUUAAAGGAAUUGGCGGGGAGCACCACAAGAGGUGGAGGCUGCGGUUCAAUUGGACUCAACGCCGGAAAACUCAUCGGGAGCGACAGCAGUAUGAUUGCCAGGUUGAUGACCUUGCUUGACAAGCUG